GAAAAGCUCAAAUUUAAAAUCUGGCGGUCUCUGGCCGUCCGAGUUGUAGUCUGGAGAAGUGCUUUCCGCGCUGGACCGUGUACAAGUCCCUUGGAACAGGGCGUCAUAGAGGGUGAGAAUCCCGUCUCUGACACGGACUACCAGUGCUUUGUGAUGCGCUCUCGAAGAGUCGAGUUGUUUGGGAAUGCAGCUCAAAAUGGGUGGUAAAUUCCAUCUAAAGCUAAAUAUUGGCGAGAGACCGAUAGCGAACAAGUACCGUGAGGGAAAGAUGAAAAGCACUUUGGAAAGAGAGUUAAACAGUACGUGAAAUUGCUGAAAGGGAAACGCUUGAAGUCAGUCGCGUUGGCCGGAACUCAGCCUUGCUUGAUUGCUCGGUGCACUUUCCGGUCGACGGGCCAGCAUCGAUUUUGAUUGUUGGAAAAAGGCCGGGGGAAUGUGGCACCUUCGGGUGUGUUAUAGCCCUUGGUCACAUACGACGGUUGGGAUCGAGGAACUCAGCACGCCUCUUGAUUGAGGUCGGGGCUUCGGCCCACGUUUACGUGCUUAGGAUGCUGGCGUAAUGGCUUUAAACGACCCGUCUUGAAACACGGACCAAGGAGUCUAACCUGUGCGCGAGUGUUUGGGUGGAAAACCCGAGCGCGUAAUGAAAGUGAAAGUUGAGAUCCCUGUCGCGGGGAGCAUCGACGCCCGGACCAGACCUUUUUGUGACGGAUCCGCGGUAGAGCGUAUACGUUGGGACCCGAAAGAUGGUGAACUAUGCCUGAAUAGGGUGAAGCCAGAGGAAACUCUGGUGGAGGCUCGUAGCGAUUCUGACGUGCAAAUCGAUCGUCAAAUUUGGGUAUAGGGGCGAAAGACUAAUCGAACC
RNAcentral lists this ribosomal RNA (865 nucleotides) under Ryvardenia campyla. Its description in RNAcentral is "eukaryotic LSU rRNA". It matches the Rfam family "Eukaryotic large subunit ribosomal RNA", at positions 102 to 941 of the family's 3401-position model. Lineage: Eukaryota; Fungi; Basidiomycota; Agaricomycetes; Polyporales; Laricifomitaceae. The record is from RNAcentral.